This 471-nucleotide long non-coding RNA is filed under the name Carica papaya (papaya). Its description in RNAcentral is "long non-coding RNA (CPAP_LNC015351)". The record is from RNAcentral. Lineage: Eukaryota; Viridiplantae; Streptophyta; Magnoliopsida; Brassicales; Caricaceae.
AGGCAUGGUAGGCGCUGGCCUGCGGAGCGGGGCUGAGGGUCGGGAACUUCCCGCUAGCUGAGGGCGGGUGUCGAAGCUCCGUUCUAUGAUCUGCGCCUUUGCCAGGACUGCCGAUAUGUCUCGAGCUCCAUCACCAAUAAGUGCUGUCUGAUCGCUGGGCGGAGGCCCCACUAGAAUUUCCUGGCCUUUCGGCCCUCAUCCAACAAUGUCUCCGGGGCAUGUCGGCCCAGCUCUAGGAACUUGUGGGCAUACUCCGACACUGUCAUAUUACCCUGGACCAAUUGAGCAAAUUCCAAUUCCUUUAAAUGUUGGAUGUGUUUAGGGAGAUACUCCGCAUGGAAGGCCGCUAGGAACUGCUCCCAAGUAACUGGUACAGGCAGGGUGGCCCGCUUGAGCUCCCACCAGCGUACCGCUUCCCCUACCAGCAUGUAGGAGGCAAUGGCAGUCCUCUGCUCAGGAAUUACUCCCAAG